This 3208-nucleotide long non-coding RNA is filed under the name Homo sapiens (human). Its description in RNAcentral is "NR2F1 regulatory antisense RNA 1, transcript variant 27 (NR2F1-AS1)". The record is from RNAcentral. Lineage: Eukaryota; Metazoa; Chordata; Mammalia; Primates; Hominidae.
GUCUCAGCUCGAGCAUUCCUAGCGCCAACACGCCCUCAGGUAAAGGUGGAAGUAAAUGGCCACGCUGUAUUGACAGAGCAGGUAGAUGAAACUCAAGAGAAAAGGUGUGGAUAAAUGAAACUAGCCCAUGAUGAACCUGUUUUCUCCGUGACCACAAUAUUAACCAGGAUGAAUGGCGGUGGCAGUGGGCCUGCAUCACAGGUUGCAGCAGAUGUUCUCAAUAUUUCUAUUAAAAUUUCCUUAUUUCCAUAUGCAAGAGGAGCCCCAGAGCUGCAUCCUUAUGGUAGCUACCAUGCCGUGAUGUAAGCUGCCAUUCACUGGGGAGCUUUGGCAAUAGAAUUGGCUAGAUCAGGAAGCCUAUGUCAACUAUGGAACAACAACUUGCAGCUCAUCUCUAUUGAUGAUGGAAUCUCGCUAUGUCACCAGGCUGGAGUGCAGUGGCGCAACCUCGGCUCAGCGCAACAUCCGCCUCCCGGGUUCAAGUGAUUCUCCUACCUCAGCCUCCUGAGUAGCUGGGAUUACAGGAAUCUAAUGACCAUUGAACUGUGGCCAUGACUUCAAUUACAAGUAUUUUCUUCACUAAUGUCAGACUGUGGGCCUUUGUAUAUACACUUUUAACAAACUUUUUGGAAGUGCAAUACAUAUCGCAACAACUUCUCAAUGCUGAAUCAUAGUAUUGGAAGACAUUUUAAGCAACAAUUAAACUCAACUUAUUUACUACCAAUAAUGUACAUAAGUCAGCUGAAGUGAGGAUAACAUGAAUAGCACAAAUACAUUAUGAUUGCUGCCUGGCCAACAGUAAUUAUAAGAAACUGUCAGUUUUGAGAUGUGUCUUGAUUUCAGAGAUGUUAAAAAAGUUUUGGCUGUAGUUAUGCCACAGACAUGACCAAAGAGAGAGCUUUGUCACAGAUGAGCAAAGGUGAAACAGUCGCAAAUGGAAUUCCAAGAAACAUUCUAUCAUCAGGUAUUAUCUACUGCUGUCUGCAGAAUUCAGACAUGGAGGGCUCAAUGGUGUCCCCUGGUCUUUGGAACAUUCUGUAUUUUAAUGAUCAUGAUACACUGCCUCUAGGACUGGGACAGAUAGCCACUGAGUACCUGCUUCAAAUCACCCUGCACGUUUUCUCUUUGGAAAGAUAAGCACUGGAGAACCAUCUCGUUACCUUCAGCAGAAAUGGAAACAAAUCAAGACAUUAAGAAUGCCGCAGUGGACAGCAGUUAUGCAAGGUUCAGCAGAGGAAGUUUUCAAGAUGGUGUGCCUCACUAGCCAGAAAUCAGAAAAGAUCGAAGCUAGCCUUUUCAUCUCAGCUGCUCCUUAAAUCAGUGCAACCCCUCCAAAUUAAUGUGAAUUGAAACUUGCAUUGCUUUUCAACUUAAUUGAAUACUUACUAUAUGUGAACCACUGCACAAAAUAGGGGAAGAAGAUGUGGGAGACAAAGAUGUGGAGCCUGUCUUCAAUAAAUUUACAGUUAGUUUCAGGGUACAUUGUUUUUCUUCUGCUGUUAAUUAGGUGUAUCCCCAAGACAAUAAAUACAUGAAUGGAAAAGUAUAUUCUGUGUUUUAAGUCUCUUUAAUAAAAAACAAAACAAAAUCCAAAAAAACUCCUAACAUGGCAACUCAGGACAUUUUAAUCCUUUUUUUUGUUGUUGGGCUUCUGAUAGGAUCCAUUUUAUUGAUUCCAUAAAUAUUUAGUAGACUUUAGACAUAUUAAUACAUUGUAGUUUGAGUUAAUUUGCAUUAAAUUCUGUUUUUUUCCCCUUAGGUAUAGAUUGUCUGUUGGAAAAAUAUAUUGCUUGUGGAUUUCUUGGGGAGUGGGAAGGUGAAUUAUACCUGUUGUCUCUACAGUCCACUACCUUCCACACCCUAGGGCAGUGGUCCCCAACCUUCUUGGCACCAGGGAUCAGUUUCCUGGAAGACAAUUUUUCUGUGGAUGGUGUGGGGAUGGUUUUGGGAUGGAACUGUUCCACCUCAGAUCAUCAGGCAUUAGUUAGGCUCUCAUAACGAGUGCGCAGCCUAGAUCCCUCACAUGCACAGUUCACAGUAGGGUUUGCGCUGCUAUGAGAAUCUAAGGCUGCCACUGAUCUGACAGGAGGCAGAACUCAGGUGGCAAUGCUUACUGGCCCACUGCUCACCUCUUGCUGUGCGGCCUGGUUCCUAAUAGGCCAUGGACCCCCACAGACGGGUACUAGUCUGCAGCCUGUGGACCCCAGCCCUAGGGGCCUGCCAUUCUGAGUGAGUUAUUAGCAUGAAGAAGAGGAAGAUCUGGAUCAAACGUGGGUGAUGGUACUCAGAGACCCAAGAUAGGAUAGGGAUGGAACAAAAUCCAUCUGGGCAACGGCUCUAUGAAAAUUUGGCUAAGUAAUUAUUUCAGUAUUCAUUGUAUUCAUUGUCCUUCGUGUUCCAUAAGUUAAAUGACUGUCUAAUUUUUCCAAAAAUUUAUUUCUGACUUGAGAAUAAGUGUGUCAUGAUUUUCCCAGUGUAAAGACACUGAUAUAACUGUAGAUACCAGACAUUUUAUGUAGUGUCUAUGACACAUUUUAGUAUGUAUGAGCCAACAAUAGACAUGUCUUUGUCUUGAGGAGUGUCCAUCUGAAUUGAAAAUGUGUCAGCUUUUUUUUAACAUCAUCAACAGACUUCUUAAUUAAGCUGCCAAUACAUACUGCCAAUAGCACUGUGUGCUGUCUGAGAAAUGCAUUGUGUAAGUGCUAUUUCCAUCUUAUUAAAUAAACAAUGUUGCUCUGUAUAAACUGGAUUUAAAGUGUUCUUUGAAUGAGGCAUUAUAUUGCUCCAUAAAUAAUGUGAUGUGAAUUCUCAUAUGAUCCCUUUUAACUUAAUUUCUAAAAAAAUAUUAUUUGCUCCUCAGUAAGGAAUAGCUCUAAUUGGACUGGUAACUUUAGUGAUAUGAUUUGUCUGUAACAGGCUGAAUCGCCCCACUCCCAAACUCCUGGUCGUGAUACUGGAUAUUUGUUAUGCCACUUUUAGUUUGCAUGAGGUAUCUUCCAGGAAGUAUUAGUUAUUAACUUGUGUUCUACUAAACUGUAGAUAUUUAUUUCCUGUUCUGGAAGAUUUCUUGGAGUGUCCAUCUGUGCAUUCCUGGUGCCUAGUGUAGUCUUGCUAAUGGAAUAGCACCUUUAUUGGUGCUACUUAGGGGUUGGUAGCUUACAAUCAAUCUACUUGGAACGUAUCCAAAUAAACUGGAUAUUUUUAUACA